GGUGACGUGGCCGAGUGGUCAGGCAGAGGCCUGCAAAGCCUCCUACGGCGGUUCGAAUCCGCCCGUCACCUCUA
This 74-nucleotide transfer RNA is filed under the name Salinibacter sp. 10B. RNAcentral describes it as "tRNA-Cys". It matches the Rfam family "tRNA". From Rfam's summary of the family: Transfer RNA (tRNA) molecules are approximately 80 nucleotides in length. Their secondary structure includes four short double-helical elements and three loops (D, anti-codon, and T loops). Lineage: Bacteria; Pseudomonadati; Rhodothermota; Rhodothermia; Rhodothermales; Salinibacteraceae. The record is from RNAcentral.